Molecule: long non-coding RNA, 1298 nt
Organism: Mytilus californianus (California mussel)
Lineage: Eukaryota; Metazoa; Mollusca; Bivalvia; Mytilida; Mytilidae
Exons: 5
Source: RefSeq, a predicted model, not a curated record
GUAUACACCACUGCCUUUCAUUAACCAGGUUACUGUAUACACCACUGCCAUUCAUUAACCAGGUAACUGUAUACACCACUGCCAUUCAUUAACCAGGUAACUGUAUACACCACUGCCUUUCAUUAACCAGGUUACUGUAUACACCACUGCCAUUCAUUAACCAGGUAACUGUAUACACCACUGCCAUUCAUUAACCAGGUAACUGUAUACACCACUGCCAUUCAUUAACCAGGUAACUGUAUACACCACUGCCAUUCAUUAACCAGGUAACUGUAUACACCACUGCCUUUCAUUAACCAGGUUACUGUAUACACCACUGCCAUUCAUUAACCAGGUAACUGUAUACACCACUGCCAUUCAUUAACCAGGUAACUGUAUACACCACUGCCAUUCAUUAACCAGGUAACUAUAUACACCACUGCCUUUCAUUAACCAGGUUACUGUAUACACCACUGCCAUUCAUUAACCAGGUAACUGUAUACACCACUGCCUUUCAUUAACCAGGUUACUAUAUACACCACUGCCUUUCAUUAACCAGGUUACUGUAUACACCACUGCCAUUCAUUAACCAGGUAACUGUAUACACCACUGCCUUUCAUUAACCAGGUUACUGUAUACACCACUGCCAUUCAUUAACCAGGUAACUGUAUACACCACUGCCUUUCAUUAACCAGGUUACUGUAUACACCACUGCCAUUCAUUAACCAGGUAACUGUAUACACCACUGCCAUUCAUUAACCAGGUAACUGUAUACACCACUGCCUUUCAUUAACCAGGUUACUGUAUACACCACUGCCAUUCAUUAACCAGGUAACUGUAUACACCACUGCCAUUCAUCAACCAGGUUACUAUAUACACCACUGCCUUUCAUUAACCAGGUAACUAUAUACACCACUGCCAUUCAUUAACCGGGUAAUUAAAUACACCAUUCAUUAAUCAGAAUGUGAGUUUAAAUUUAUAUAUUAAUGGCAAUAAUUAAUACAUCACAAAAUUUCGGUCUUUCGUGAUCAGUAUAUUAAACUUUGCUUCAUCUAUAUACAACUGCUGUCAAAUUUUUAUGCACCCCACAAAUAACUGUUUGGUCAUGCCUGUCAAGAUGGUCCUUUUGAUAUUGAUAUAGUAAGUUAGAUUACUUUUAAUGGAAUAACUGCCUUUGUUCAAAUCUUGUCAUACUGUUUCAACUCAUCUUCAAGAUCACAGUUCUAGUUAUACCCUACGCAACGAGUUGCGGAGGGUAUAAUGUUUUUGACCUGUCCGUCUAUCUGUCCGUCCGUCCGUCCGUCUGUCUGUCCAUCAGU